This is a non-coding RNA of Hydra vulgaris (swiftwater hydra), 1045 nucleotides long. NCBI's taxonomy places the organism in Eukaryota, Metazoa, Cnidaria, Hydrozoa, Anthoathecata, Hydridae. The record is from RefSeq and is a predicted model, not a curated record.
AGUCAUGUGCUGCAACUAUUAAUUUAAAAAAUUAUUACAUUUUAUGUGUAUGCAUUUCUCGUUAUUUAAAAUAUUGAUUUUUUGUUACAACAUUGUAAUUUUAGUAUCUUAUACCUUUUGUGCUACACCUAAACAACUCUUUUUAAUGUGCACAAAUUUCUCAUUGAUUGCAAUAUUGAUUUUUAUAAUAUAUUUUUUACCUUUAGUUCUUUAUACGUGUGGCUACGCCUGUUCCAUUUGUACCACCUUUAAACGGUAAAUUUAUAAAUCUGGAAUGUCUCUGAUUUUUUACUGAGUUCCUCUUAUUCCUAUUUAUAUCAUCUAUUUAAUACUUUUGUGUUUUGUUAUCUCUCCAAGUGCUAUAAAAGGAGAAUCAGAAGCUUAUACAUGUUUGAGUUUUUAUUCUGAUUAACUUUUAUUAAAAAUUUCAUUGAUUCAUUAAUCAUUCUUUAUAUAUAUUCAGACAAACUGUCUUGGUAAGUAUUUAUUUUAAUUUUUUUAAUUUUUAAUUACAUGAAUUACAAAUACAUUAAUAUUUUAUUUGUUUUUAGAGCUUACAUAUGAAGCUUAUAGGUCAUUUCGAUCUUAAAACUAAAAUCAUUUACUAAAAGCCAAGACAUAGAGUAAUUACUAUGUUUUAAAACAUUUUAUUAUUAUUUUUUUUUUAUUAGGUUGGUGGGUUAAAUAUAAUCAUUUAAAUGAGAAAAUGUAUACUAGUGCAACUUGUAAUCUGGGUGUUAUAACAUCACAACCAUAUCUAUGGUCAACUCUAAGAUCACCUUAUUUUGUUUGGCAGUGUUUUGGAAUCAAGUUAUGGCAAUAUUUUGUGUGUAAAAUAUAACAAUUACAUUUAAAAAGUGCUUAUUUCUGACAAAAACUUGUAUUUUCUUAAGGGUUAGAUGGUGUUUCAUUACCCCCUCUGGCUCCCAAGAUACACCCUACAUCCAGGCACCAAAAUAAACUUGUAGCCCAUUAGUGCACCUAUCUUGUGAUACCAAGAUAUAGGUAUUUGGAUAAAAAUUGACAAAGUUAUAACAAUUUAAGU